CUACCCUUGACAUGCCAGGAACUUUCCAGAGAUGGAUUGGUGCCCGAAAGGGAACCUGGACACAGGUGCUGCAUGGCUGUCGUCAGCUCGUGUCGUGAGAUGUUGGGUUAAGUCCCGCAACGAGCGCAACCCUUGUCAUUAAUUGCCAUCAUUUAGUUGGGCACUUUAAUGAGACUGCCGGUGAUAAACCGGAGGAAGGUGGGGAUGACGUCAAGUCCUCAUGGCCCUUAUGGGUAGGGCUUCACACGUAAUACAAUGGUCGGUACAGAGGGUCGCCAACCCGCGAGGGGGAGCCAAUCUCAGAAAGCCGAUCGUAGUCCGGAUUGUUCUCUGCAACUCGAGAGCAUGAAGUCGGAAUCGCUAGUAAUCGCGGAUCAGCAUGUCGCGGUGAAUACGUUCC
RNAcentral lists this ribosomal RNA (400 nucleotides) under uncultured bacterium. RNAcentral describes it as "bacterial SSU rRNA". It matches the Rfam family "Bacterial small subunit ribosomal RNA", at positions 975 to 1374 of the family's 1533-position model. The record is from RNAcentral.